CUGAGAUGUCCUCAGAAAGAGGGAAGACUUCAUUCAAAUUCUUGGAAUUCUUCAGUCUGAAGUAAGAGAAAAAAACAGGGAAAAAACCAUUAAAGUUUGAGACAUAAAAAGAUAAUCAUGAAGCAUUUUUUAAGUGAAGACUGAACCAUGGAAGCAAGAACCUAAAGAAAACACUCUGGGCAACCCUUCUACCUCCAUGCCAAGAUCUCAACAAAGGUUGACAAAAGUAAAAUCAAGAAAGUCCACUUACUGGAAAAUGUCAGUCCUUGGAGGCGGGAUUCUGCUGGAUUCACCUGGAAGUAUAUCAAAUGCUGUUCCCUUUUCUUCAAUGCAGUUUGCAGAAUUACUGUC
Molecule: long non-coding RNA, 351 nt
Organism: Bubalus bubalis (water buffalo)
Lineage: Eukaryota; Metazoa; Chordata; Mammalia; Artiodactyla; Bovidae
Exons: 2
Source: RefSeq, a predicted model, not a curated record